UUAACGGUGUCUUUAGACACCACUUACCUUUUUUGAAAUUUAUCC
This is a non-coding RNA of Picea glauca (white spruce), 45 nucleotides long. The record is from Rfam. Lineage: Eukaryota; Viridiplantae; Streptophyta; Pinopsida; Pinales; Pinaceae.